Molecule: ribosomal RNA, 492 nt
Filed under: uncultured bacterium
Lineage: Bacteria
Description: partial 16S ribosomal RNA
Rfam family: Bacterial small subunit ribosomal RNA
Source: RNAcentral
AGUGAACGCUGGCGGUAGGCCUAACACAUGCAAGUCGAACGGCAGCACAGUAAGAGCUUGCUCUUACGGGUGGCGAGUGGCGGACGGGUGAGGAAUACAUCGGAAUCUACUUUUUCGUGGGGGAUAACGUAGGGAAACUUACGCUAAUACCGCAUACGACCUACGGGUGAAAGCAGGGGAUCUUCGCACCUUGCGCGUUUGAAUGAGCUGAUGUCGGAUUAGCUAGUUGGGGGGGUAAAGGCCCACCAAGGCGACGAUCCGUAGCUGGUCUGAGAGGAUGAUCGGCCACACUGGAACUGAGACACGGUCCAGACUCCUACGGGAGGCAGCAGUGGGGAAUAUUGGACAAUGGGCGCAAGCCUGACCCAGCCAUACCGCGUGGGUGAAGAAGGCCUUCGGGUUGUAAAGCCCUUUUGUUGGGAAAGAAAAGCAGCAGGUUAAUACCCCGCUGUUCUGACGGUACCCAAUGAAUAAGCACCGGCUAACUACGUG